AUAUUGUAUGUUAACUACCGACAGUAGGUAUAGACAAAUACUGGUGAUAGACGGUAUAUAGGAGCACUAUAUUGUAUGUUAACCACCGACGGUAGGUAUAGACAAAUACUGCUGAUAGACGGUAUAUAGGAGCACUAUAUUGUAUGUUAACCACCGACGGUAGGUAUAGACAUAUACUGCUGAUAGACGGUAUAUAGGUGCACUAUAUUGUAUGUAACCUUCCAACAGUAGGUAUAGACAAAUACUGUUGAUAGACGGUAUAUAGGAACACUAUAUUGUAUGUUAACUACCGACAGUAGGUAUAGACAAAUACUGGUGAUAGACGGUAUAUACAUGUAGGAGCACUAUAUUGUAUGUUAACUACCAACAGUAGGUAUAGACUAAAACUCUUGAUAGACGGUAUAUAUAAUAGCACUAUAUCGUAUGUUAAUCACCGACGGUAGGUAUAGACAAAUACUGGUGAUAGACGGUAUAUAGGAGCACUAUAUUGUAUGUUAACCACCGACGGUAGGUACAGACAAAUACUGUUGAUAUACGGUGUAUAGGAGCACUAUACUGUAUGUUAACUACCGACAGUAGGUAUAGACAAAUACUGUUGAUAGACGGUAUAUAGGAGCACUAUAUUGUAUUGUUAACCACGACAGGUAGGCGUAUAGACAAAAUACUGGUGAUAGCACGGUUAUUUGAUAGGAGCACUAUAAUUGUAUGGUUAACCACGACGGUAGGUAUAGAUAAAUACUGUUGAUAGACGGGUAUAAUAGAACACUUAUUGAAUAUUGUUAACUACGAAAGUAGUAUAGACAAAUACUGGUGAUAAGACGUAUAUAGGAGCACUAUAUUUUACGUUAACCACCGACGGUAGGUAUCAAGAAAUGCUGUUAAUAGACGGUAUAUGGAGCACUAUAUUGUAUGUUAACACCGACGGUAGGUAAAUUCAGAUACUUUUGACAGACGGUAUAUAUGAGCACUAUAUACGGACCAUAUAAUUACGUUAUAUUGACCAUCGACGGUAGGGAUAAAUGAAAACUGUGAUAGGACGGUUUAUAGGAGCACUUAAUUGUAUGUUUUACACCGACAGUAUGUAUAAGACACAUGAUUUUAAUAGACAGCACUAUAUUUUACGUAAACCACCGACGGUAGGUAUAGACAAAUACUUUUGAUAUACGGUAUAUAGGAGUACUGUAUUGCUUGUUAACCACCGAUGGUAGGUAUAAACAGGUACUGUUGAUAUACGGUAUAUAGGAGUACUAUAUGUCAUGUUAACCACCGACGGUAGGUAUAGACUAAAUACUGUUGAUAGACAGUAUAUAGGAGGACUAUAUUGCAUGUUAACCACCGACGAUAGGUAUAGACAAAUACUGUUGAUAUACGGUAUAUAGGUGCACUGUAUUGCAUGUUAACCACCGACGGUGGGUAUAGAAACAGGUUAAAACAUAGUGUUGAUAGACGGUAUAUAGGAGCAAUAUAUUGCAUGUUAACCACCGAUGGUAGGUUUAGAAAAAUACUGAUAAUAGACGGUAUAUAGGUUCACUGUAUUAUAUGUUAACCACGACGGUAGGUAGAGAAAAAUUAGUAUUGCUAGACGGUAUAUAGAGUACUGUAAUGCUUGUUAACCACCGAUGGUAGGUAUAGACAGGUACUUUUGAUAUACGGGUAUAAGGAGUCUGUAUUGCUUGUUUAACACGAUGGUAGGUAUAAACAGGUACUGCUUGAUAUACGGUAUAUGGGCUACUAUAUGUCAUGUUAAACCACCAACGGUAGGUAUAAACUAAAUACUGUUGAUUAGAAGGAACUAUAUUGCAUUGUUAACCACCGAACGAUAGGUAUAGACAAAAUCCUGUUUGAUAUACGCUAUAUAGGUGCAGUCUGUAUUGCAUGUUAACCACGACGGUGGGUAUAGAAACAGAUUAGAAAUAUAGUGUUUGUAGACAGUAUAUAGGAGCACUAUAUUGCAUGUUAACCACCGGAUGGUAGGUUUAGAAAAAUACUGAUAAUAGACGGUAUAUAGGUUCACUGUAUUAUAUGUUAACCACCGACGGUAGGUAGAGAAAAAUAGUAUUGCUAGACGGUAUAUAGGAGUACUGUAAUGCUUGUUAACCACCGAUGUUAGGUAUAGACAGGUACUGUUGAUAUACGGUAUUUAGGAGUACUGUAUGGCAUGUUAACCACCGACGGUAGGUACAGACAAAUACUGUUGAUAGACGAUAUAUAGGAGUACUGUAUGGCAUGUUAACCACCAACGGUAGGUAUAGACAAAUACUGUUGAUAGACAGUAUAUAAGAGGACUAUAUUGCAUGUUAACCACCGACGGUAGGUAUAGACAAAUACUGUUGAUAGGACGGUAUAUAGGAGCACUAUAUUGUAUGUUAACUACCAACAGGUAGGUAUAGACAAAUACUGUUGAUAGACGGUAUAUAGGAGCACUAUAUUGUAUGUUAACUACCGACACUAGGUAUAGACAAAUACUGUUGAUAGACGGUAUAUGGGAG
Molecule: long non-coding RNA, 2489 nt
Filed under: Mytilus galloprovincialis (Mediterranean mussel)
Lineage: Eukaryota; Metazoa; Mollusca; Bivalvia; Mytilida; Mytilidae
Source: RNAcentral